Long non-coding RNA from Argiope bruennichi, 1462 nucleotides. RefSeq lists it as uncharacterized. The record is from RefSeq and is a predicted model, not a curated record. NCBI's taxonomy places the organism in Eukaryota, Metazoa, Arthropoda, Arachnida, Araneae, Araneidae. The transcript has 3 exons.
GAAGCGUAUAAAUGUAUGAGCGCCUGAAGAGUGGUGCAAUUGUAAAAGGAAGGCAUUUACAUAUGAAUGAAAUGACGUGUCCGAUUUCAUUGCUUAUCUGGUUGGGUAGUGAGAACAAAUGACUGUGCUAAGUGCAUAGAAAAGAUUGCUAAUUUCAACUGGCACUUUGGUAUGCUUUGUUCAAGCCUGAACAUGAUUAUCACAAUUCUUGAUAUCACUGGUAAAAAUCCUAAAGUGUCUUCUGUCAAGAUCCUAAAAUGGAAUAACAGACGAAUCCCCUGGUCUUAUUGAAAAAUUCGAAUUGAGACGAUACCGAUCUGUUCUGCUUUCAAAGACGCUCAUUCUAUGUUCCUCUUCCUAUAAUCGAAAGUUACUUCAGAGGAUAUGUAAAUCCUCCUUAUGAAUGCUAACGUAAACGAGAUAUGCGCUCCCAUCUGGCCACGGAUGCUGAAAAGAACAUGUUUGCUUGAAAGUUGUAUGUUGCCUUAAUCUUUCCCCGAGGCCUCCAAACUUUCAAGUUCAACCAAUGUGAAGCAAGAUAUAUUGCUGGCAAGCUAUUUCCAAUUCCAUAAAGCCUGGAACACCAAUGCUUUGUAAAUAAGCUCAAAUGGAAGAAUGACUUGUCAUGGGUGAAUAUUUAAAGUUUAAACUAGCUUUAUUAUGUUAAGUGUAUUUGAACGAUUUUUGGAGCAAGUUCACAACCCUAUAUAGGAUCUACUAAAAUAGAACUGUAAAAUUGUGUUUUAAUUCUAAGCAUGCAUGUGCUCGUAAAAAUAAAUUUACGAUCUUUAAUUAGAUAAUAAUCGUAAAUCGUUUGUAUAUUGAAAUACCUUUAUGAAACUAUUUUAUUGAAGACAAAAUUGAAGCAGUCUUGAAUUUACAAGUACUAUGAUUAAACCGAGAUUAUAUCCGAAUAUGCAUUGGAACUUAAAAGCAGAGAUUUUGAAUUUCCUUUUGAAUUUUAAUUUAUGUAAACACAGCAAGGAAUGCUUUAAAAACUUCUAUAUUAUAUGGAGUAGUAAAGGCAAACUAAUAAACAAUAAUUUUACAUAUUAAAGCCUCUUCUCCAUUUUGAUAUAAAUUGCAUUGCUUACAACUGGGUUAGGAUUUGUUUACAUCAAAUACAUAAGUGUCGAAUCAUCAACAUGCAUGAGUUUGUUAGAAUAGAAACAUUGUUUAUGCAUGACAUUUAACAAAUUUCCACAUAAAUGAAUAUAUUAAUGGUUGCAGAAUAGGUCUAAGUUCAAUCUCGUUAUCCCACUUUAAAUAAGAAGCUGAAAUUUUGACCAAAAUUUAAGCAAAUUUAUUAGAUAUUAUAGCAGUGGGAUAAAAGCAACUCUUCAUAAAGCAGUACCAGUUAGUCAUUCUGCUUAAGUGAAUAUUUGGAGUGGAAUUCGCUCAGUUUUCAUUAAAUUGAUCGUUCUUGAAUUCGCUUGUAAUAAAUAUUUCGAAGAAUUAAUUU